This 1528-nucleotide ribosomal RNA is filed under the name Klebsiella pneumoniae. RNAcentral describes it as "bacterial SSU rRNA". It matches the Rfam family "Bacterial small subunit ribosomal RNA". The record is from RNAcentral. Lineage: Bacteria; Pseudomonadati; Pseudomonadota; Gammaproteobacteria; Enterobacterales; Enterobacteriaceae.
AGAGUUUGAUCAUGGCUCAGAUUGAACGCUGGCGGCAGGCCUAACACAUGCAAGUCGAGCGGUAGCACAGAGAGCUUGCUCUCGGGUGACGAGCGGCGGACGGGUGAGUAAUGUCUGGGAAACUGCCUGAUGGAGGGGGAUAACUACUGGAAACGGUAGCUAAUACCGCAUAAUGUCGCAAGACCAAAGUGGGGGACCUUCGGGCCUCAUGCCAUCAGAUGUGCCCAGAUGGGAUUAGCUAGUAGGUGGGGUAACGGCUCACCUAGGCGACGAUCCCUAGCUGGUCUGAGAGGAUGACCAGCCACACUGGAACUGAGACACGGUCCAGACUCCUACGGGAGGCAGCAGUGGGGAAUAUUGCACAAUGGGCGCAAGCCUGAUGCAGCCAUGCCGCGUGUGUGAAGAAGGCCUUCGGGUUGUAAAGCACUUUCAGCGGGGAGGAAGGCGUUAAGGUUAAUAACCUUGGCGAUUGACGUUACCCGCAGAAGAAGCACCGGCUAACUCCGUGCCAGCAGCCGCGGUAAUACGGAGGGUGCAAGCGUUAAUCGGAAUUACUGGGCGUAAAGCGCACGCAGGCGGUCUGUCAAGUCGGAUGUGAAAUCCCCGGGCUCAACCUGGGAACUGCAUUCGAAACUGGCAGGCUAGAGUCUUGUAGAGGGGGGUAGAAUUCCAGGUGUAGCGGUGAAAUGCGUAGAGAUCUGGAGGAAUACCGGUGGCGAAGGCGGCCCCCUGGACAAAGACUGACGCUCAGGUGCGAAAGCGUGGGGAGCAAACAGGAUUAGAUACCCUGGUAGUCCACGCCGUAAACGAUGUCGAUUUGGAGGUUGUGCCCUUGAGGCGUGGCUUCCGGAGCUAACGCGUUAAAUCGACCGCCUGGGGAGUACGGCCGCAAGGUUAAAACUCAAAUGAAUUGACGGGGGCCCGCACAAGCGGUGGAGCAUGUGGUUUAAUUCGAUGCAACGCGAAGAACCUUACCUGGUCUUGACAUCCACAGAACUUACCAGAGAUGCAUUGGUGCCUUCGGGAACUGUGAGACAGGUGCUGCAUGGCUGUCGUCAGCUCGUGUUGUGAAAUGUUGGGUUAAGUCCCGCAACGAGCGCAACCCUUAUCCUUUGUUGCCAGCGGUUCGGCCGGGAACUCAAAGGAGACUGCCAGUGAUAAACUGGAGGAAGGUGGGGAUGACGUCAAGUCAUCAUGGCCCUUACGACCAGGGCUACACACGUGCUACAAUGGCAUAUACAAAGAGAAGCGACCUCGCGAGAGCAAGCGGACCUCAUAAAGUAUGUCGUAGUCCGGAUUGGAGUCUGCAACUCGACUCCAUGAAGUCGGAAUCGCUAGUAAUCGUAGAUCAGAAUGCUACGGUGAAUACGUUCCCGGGCCUUGUACACACCGCCCGUCACACCAUGGGAGUGGGUUGCAAAAGAAGUAGGUAGCUUAACCUUCGGGAGGGCGCUUACCACUUUGUGAUUCAUGACUGGGGUGAAGUCGUAACAAGGUAACCGUAGGGGAACCUGCGGUUGGAUCACCU